This 175-nucleotide non-coding RNA is filed under the name Fusibacter tunisiensis. RNAcentral describes it as "6S / SsrS RNA". It matches the Rfam family "6S / SsrS RNA". Rfam says of the family: E. coli 6S RNA was the first non coding RNA to be sequenced, but its function was unknown until recently. The record is from RNAcentral. Lineage: Bacteria; Bacillati; Bacillota; Clostridia; Eubacteriales; Fusibacteraceae.
CAUUGCCUGGGAUGUUGGUUGCGUUUAUGAAUUUUACCACUGAUUAUUGAACGGGAGAACGCGUUCCCGUGUGGAUGGCAAGCUGUCUAGAACAGACGUCAGAAGCAUAGGAUAGUCCACCCACCUGGAGAAGGUGUGGUGUGAGAUUUGUACGCAACGGCAUCCUGGACACCAU